This 67-nucleotide transfer RNA is filed under the name Lactuca dolichophylla. RNAcentral's name for it is "partial tRNA-Leu". The record is from RNAcentral. Lineage: Eukaryota; Viridiplantae; Streptophyta; Magnoliopsida; Asterales; Asteraceae.
AAAUUUAUAGUAAGAGGAAAAUCCGUCGAUUUCUAAAAUCGUGAGGGUUCAAGUCCCUCUAUCCCCA